AUUGAACGCUGGCGGCAGGCCUAACACAUGCAAGUCGAGCGGAUGAAGGGAGCUUGCUCCUGGAUUCAGCGGCGGACGGGUGAGUAAUGCCUAGGAAUCUGCCUGGUAGUGGGGGAUAACGUCCGGGAACGGGCGCUAAUACCGCAUACGUCCUGAGGGAGAAAGUGGGGGAUCUUCGGACCUCACGCUAUCAGAUGAGCCUAGGUCGGAUUAGCUAGUUGGUGGGGUAAAGGCCUACCAAGGCGACGAUCCGUAACAGGUCUGAGAGGAUGAUCAGUCACACUGGAACUGAGACACGGUCCAGACUCCUACGGGAGGCAGCAGUGGGGAAUAUUGGACAAAGGGCGAAAGCCUGAUCCAGCCAUGCCGCGUGUGUGAAGAAGGUCUUCGGAUUGUAAAGCACUUUAAGUUGGGAGGAAGGGCAGUAAGUUAAUACCUUGCUGUUUUGACGUUACCAACAGAAUAAGCACCGGCUAACUUCGUG
This 484-nucleotide ribosomal RNA is filed under the name uncultured bacterium. RNAcentral's name for it is "partial 16S ribosomal RNA". It matches the Rfam family "Bacterial small subunit ribosomal RNA", at positions 30 to 507 of the family's 1533-position model. The record is from RNAcentral.